RNAcentral lists this small RNA (93 nucleotides) under Arabidopsis thaliana (thale cress). Its description in RNAcentral is "ATSL269930". Lineage: Eukaryota; Viridiplantae; Streptophyta; Magnoliopsida; Brassicales; Brassicaceae. The record is from RNAcentral.
CUGAUAUGUCUAUAAUUUGCAUGUUUUCAGUGUCCAUUCAUCAUUGUUUUGAGUCCAGUUUCGUAUCAUUCAUCACUGUUUUAUAUCAUUUAU